ACUGAGUAGUUUUUUCCUCAGUGUGGGUGUUUUUUGUACACGACUGUACAGACGUGAGUGUUCAUAGUUAUGCUUGUGUGUGAUUCAAACGUGGUCGUGGGCUCACUUCCUUCACGUCAUGUACCUCCCAAAAUCUGAGAACUCUGACCUCAUUUGUGUCUCGUCUGACUCUACGUGCACAGCUCAGAUCAGUGGUACUCUCAUCCUGUAUCUGUGUCUCUGAUUCAUAAAAACUCAGGACAAACCAGAGCGAUGCCUCGUUCAUUCUUGGUGAAACGAUGUGGGCUCAGCCACCUUCGAGCCACAACCACCACUUACAUCCAUGGAUGCACCUCCAGGACAUUAGAUCCACUAGAACUAAAGACAGGAUCCUGGGCAGGGCCCCUGUUUGAGCAUAAGGUUUCUGCUGUCAACUGCAAGUAUGAGAGGGAGAAGCUCCAGCUGUUUGGAGGGGAUCCUCAUGUCUCCUGCAGUACGAUCAGCUCAAAUGCUUCAGUCCCAGAGGAGAACAUGGCCUUUGCACCCCCAACACAGUCAGCGUGGACUGAUCCUCACGUGAGAACACACAUUUUCAUCUCCAAGACAAACUUGUCCACUCUGUGGGCUUGGAUCAAAAGAGGAAUAUUUAAACCUAUUUGCAUUCAUAACAGUGUCACUCAGUU
Molecule: long non-coding RNA, 662 nt
Filed under: Gouania willdenowi (blunt-snouted clingfish)
Lineage: Eukaryota; Metazoa; Chordata; Actinopteri; Blenniiformes; Gobiesocidae
Description: lncRNA (ENSGWIG00000025915.1)
Source: RNAcentral